RNAcentral lists this ribosomal RNA (374 nucleotides) under uncultured organism. Its description in RNAcentral is "partial 16S ribosomal RNA". It matches the Rfam family "Bacterial small subunit ribosomal RNA", at positions 527 to 896 of the family's 1533-position model. The record is from RNAcentral.
GUAGGUGGCAAGCGUUGUCCGGAAUUAUUGGGCGUAAAGCGCGCGCAGGUGGUUCUUUAAGUCUGAUGUGAAAGCCCCCGGCUCAACCGGGGAGGGUCAUUGGAAACUGGGGAACUCGAGUGCAGGAGAGGAAAGUGGAAUUCCACGUGUAGCGGUGAAAUGCGUAGAUAUGUGGAGGAACACCAGUGGCGAAGGCGACUUUCUGGCCUGUAACUGACACUGAGGCGCGAAAGCGUGGGGAGCAAACAGGGAUUAGAUACCCUGGUAGUCCACGCCGUAAACGAUGAGUGCUAAGUGUUGGGGGGGGUUUCCGCCCCCUCAGUGCUGCAGCUAACGCAUUAAGCACUCCGCCUGGGAGUACGGUCGCAAGACUG